GGGCGGGGCUAUACAUGCAAGUCGAGCGGAGAUUUGAAAAGCUUGCUUUUCAAUCUUAGCGGCGGACGGGUGAGUAACACGUGGGCAACCUGCCCUUGAGACGGGGAUAACUCCGGGAAACCGGAGCUAAUACCGGAUAACACAUAUCUUCGCAUGAGGAUAUGUUAGAAGGUGGCUUUUAGCUACCACUCAAGGAUGGGCCCGCGGCGCAUUAGCUAGUUGGUGAGGUAACGGCUCACCAAGGCGACGAUGCGUAGCCGACCUGAGAGGGUGAUCGGCCACACUGGGACUGAGACACGGCCCAGACUCCUACGGGAGGCAGCAGUAGGGAAUCUUCCGCAAUGGACGAAAGUCUGACGGAGCAACGCCGCGUGAGUGAUGAAGGUUUUCGGAUCGUAAAGCUCUGUUGUUAGGGAAGAACAAGUACCUGUUAAAUAAGCAGGUACCUUGACGGUACCUAACCAGAAAGCCACGGCUAACUACGUGCCAGCAGCCGCGGUAAUACGUAGGUGGCAAGCGUUGUCCGGAAUUAUUGGGCGUAAAGCGCGCGCAGGCGGUUCCUUAAGUCUGAUGUGAAAGCCCACGGCUCAACCGUGGAGGGUCAUUGGAAACUGGGGAACUUGAGUGCAGAAGAGGAGAGCGGAAUUCCACGUGUAGCGGUGAAAUGCGUAGAGAUGUGGAGGAACACCAGUGGCGAAGGCGGCUCUCUGGUCUGUAACUGACGCUGAGGCGCGAAAGCGUGGGGAGCGAACAGGAUUAGAUACCCUGGUAGUCCACGCCGUAAACGAUGAGUGCUAAGUGUUAGAGGGUUUCCGCCCUUUAGUGCUGCAGCAAACGCAUUAAGCACUCCGCCUGGGGAGUACGGUCGCAAGACUGAAACUCAAAGGAAUUGACGGGGACCCGCACAAGC
This 910-nucleotide ribosomal RNA is filed under the name Priestia filamentosa. Its description in RNAcentral is "bacterial SSU rRNA". It matches the Rfam family "Bacterial small subunit ribosomal RNA", at positions 40 to 930 of the family's 1533-position model. Lineage: Bacteria; Bacillati; Bacillota; Bacilli; Caryophanales; Bacillaceae. The record is from RNAcentral.